RNAcentral lists this transfer-messenger RNA (356 nucleotides) under Dehalococcoidales. Its description in RNAcentral is "W589 sp011170375 Standard tmRNA". It matches the Rfam family "transfer-messenger RNA". Rfam says of the family: Bacterial tmRNA, also known as 10Sa RNA or SsrA, is named for its dual tRNA and mRNA-like properties. Lineage: Bacteria; Bacillati; Chloroflexota; Dehalococcoidia. RNAcentral also lists the same sequence under 2 other names. The record is from RNAcentral.
GGGGACGCGUGGUUUCGACAGGGGAAGUAUGUUACAGGAUUGCAGGCUGAGGUUGCCGCUACCCUCAUUAAACAAGUGGCAAAAGAUAACUGGCAAAGAACCAGUACUAGUUGCCGCCUAAUUAAAUAGGCAGCACAUCCACCCCUACCCCACCCCGGCGGGUGGGGAGUGGGUGACGAAAAGUCGGGGUGCCACCGCCCCAGGGUCGACUAAGGCGGUGAAAGAGAAAUCGACUGGCCUGCCUGGACCCGGUCAGCAGGGGCCAGCCGGGUGAGAUCAAAGAGCUGACUAAGCCUGUAGGAUAUUCUGGACAGCUUCCUUUGGACGGGGAGUUCAACUCUCCCCCGUCUCCACCA